UGAGGAAUAUUGCGCAAUGGGCGAAAGCCUGACGCAGCAACGCCGCGUGGAUGACGAAGUUCUUCGGAAUGUAAAAUCCUUUUGCAGAGGAAGAAAAUGCUGGUUUACCGGCACUGACGGUACUCCGCGAAUAAGCCACGUCUAACUCUGUGCCAGCAGCCGCGGUGAUACAGGGGCGGCAAGCGUUGCCCGGAUUUACUGGGUGUAAUGGGUGCGCAGGCGGGCUCAUAAGCCGGGGGUGAAAUCCAUGGGCUUAACACAUGCAUGGCUUCCGGUACUGUGAGUCUGGAGUAUCGAAGAGGGAGAUGGAAUUUCCGGUGUAACGGUGGAAUGUGUAGAUAUCGGAAAGAACACCAGGGGCGAAGGCAGUCUUCUGGGCGAGAACUGACGCUCAGGCACGAAAGCGUGGGGAGCAAACA
This 419-nucleotide ribosomal RNA is filed under the name uncultured bacterium. Its description in RNAcentral is "bacterial SSU rRNA". It matches the Rfam family "Bacterial small subunit ribosomal RNA", at positions 355 to 774 of the family's 1533-position model. The record is from RNAcentral.